Long non-coding RNA from Ahaetulla prasina, 662 nucleotides. RefSeq lists it as uncharacterized. The record is from RefSeq and is a predicted model, not a curated record. The transcript is spliced from 3 exons. Lineage: Eukaryota; Metazoa; Chordata; Lepidosauria; Squamata; Colubridae.
CGCACUCAAAUGGAAAACACGCUCGGUCGGCCUCCAAGCUGGGUUUCUCAAAACAAAACACAGCUUAGGGAGACAAAGCAGCGGAGGACGGAAGGACAAGUGUUGGAAUAGCAGACUUGAAAGGGGCCUUGGAGGUCUUCUAGUCCAACCCAUGGAGUUAAUCCCAUUCAUGCCCCCAGGGGAGCAGAGAUUUUGAAGAGUCGGGUCUCUGGUUCACUACUGGGCCACGAAAGCGAUUUAAGAUCCACAUUUUUGGAAACUUUUAAGAAACUCACCGGAUGGGCUCUGAACCGAGAUGCUUGUUAAGCACCUGGACAAGGAGGUCUUCGGAGAAGGGGGGCUGCCCCUCCUUCCUCUGGAUGUCAAGUGGAUUAGCCCCGGAGGAAGGCAAACCGCACAGCCGCUACAGCUGAUCUCUUUAAAAGACAUCCCAGCAGGGUUGGACCAGCAGAUUCGUGGUUGGGAGGCCCAAACCAACCAGAAGGGGGCGACUGUGAGCCAAACAGCACGUGGAAGCCAAAGCCAACCUAGGCUUCAAACUCAAGGUAGACGAUGACUUUGGGUGCUUCUUUUCUGGCUGCGGGGAAAAGCCGAGCCCCCUCUCUCCUGAAAGGAAGCAGGACCCUCCCUCCCCUUCCCGCCCCCGGAUGCUGGAUCAAUCC